AUGUAUUUUACUUCAUUUCAGAUGUAUUUCAGAAGAAUUUCAGCUUUAUUUUAGAUGUAUUUACAACAUAUACAUUUAAGAGUUUUUGACCCUUUUCGGCUUCCACUAUCUAAAUACGGUCAUAGUGUCUGGUUCUUAUCAACACUCAGGCCCUCUUCUAAUUGGCUCCACCUGUUCCUCAUUUCAGCAUUUAUUAUUCAAACCCUCGUUUUCUUGGCAUCCUUGCAGUGUCCUGGAGGGGACACGGUGACAUGGUGGUGGCAUCUCAAAGACUCCAGGGCCGUUAACGUCCUCGGACGGUUUAAUCCUGUAACCGGAUCGGACCGUCCCUGCAGCUGGAUGUUGUCUGUGCCUUUGGGUUGUUUGCAUGAGAAGAUAAAUAAAGUGUAAAAACUUAAAAGCGGUGUUGUAAUAUUUUCUGAGUUAACACGAGAUGUUUGUAAGGCCUGUGUGGCUGCGAGGACUUUGCAGCGGUGCAGAAAUGAUUCAGCAGACACACAGAGGGCUGUUAGUUCAGUGAGCUGUUUGGAUGAACUUCAUUCAGCCAACAAAACAAAAAAACUGAGAGCUAAUAAAAAACACACUCUGAGGGCGGAC
Molecule: long non-coding RNA, 597 nt
Organism: Silurus meridionalis
Lineage: Eukaryota; Metazoa; Chordata; Actinopteri; Siluriformes; Siluridae
Exons: 2
Source: RefSeq, a predicted model, not a curated record